AUGGUGAUUUUUCCUACUUAUACUGGUAUGCUCACAUCAAUCGACGGAUUGGAGCGAGGAGAAAGCUCAAAAGGGCGAAAGCGUGCACGUGAAGCAAUAAGAUAUGCUAGCCGUACACCAGAGCAAAUCCAAGCAAGGCGAGAACGUGUUAGAGCACGUCGGCAAAAUUUGACACCUAAGGAGAAGGAAGAGAUUAAUGCACGAAGAAGAGAGAAACGACAACGUAUGACACUUGAAGAGAGAAAUGCAAGCCAGCGAGCAUGUAGGCAAAGUUUGACACUAGAGGAGAGGCAAGAAAGAAAUGCACGCCAACGAGCGCGUCGGCAAAGCCUGCCACCGGAAGAGCGGCGGGCACUUCUAGCUCAACGUAAUGCAAGUUAUGCAUCUAGACGAGAUACCCCAUGCAUGGAUUCCAUUGUAUCAAAUUGCCCUAUGGGUUCAUUGCUGGGACAUGCAUCAUCAAGCUCUUAUGCCUUUAGUUACCCAAGUACACUGACUCAAACUUUUUCUACAAUUCAAGGUAAUCUAGAAAGCAUACCUGAAGGAAUGGAAGAUGAUCACAUAGUUUUCACUAGCAAAGGUGACGCUAAUACUGUCCAGUGCAAGGAACUCACAUCGGUGCAAUGUCCAACAUCUACAUCAGUGGACAGUUCAUCAUUGGCCCCUGAUGACUCCAUAUGCCCAGGUUCCCCAACGGAAAGCUUUAAUGUGGAUGAUGAUUUUUCUCAUAUGACCGAAGAAGAAGAUGAUGAGUACUUCGCAUUUGCUGGGAGAGGGAACACUGAAGAUUGCGAUGACAUGGUAGAUGCUUUUACAACAGACAACAUUGUUCCUGACCCAUAUGACUGUGUUUACCAGAAUAUACCAAAAAGUACUCACACGCUGGUGCCAAAGCCUGAUUGCAAGCAUUGCGGCGCAAAGAGGUUCCAGUAUGAGACAAAUGGAUUUUGUUGCCAGUCUGGAAAAAUUAAGUUAGCACAGUCAGAACCACCCUUGGAACUUCAGAUGUUGUACACAAGUUCAGAUAGUGAUGCUGUACAUUUUAGGGAUAACAUUCGCUACUUCAAUGGCCACUUUUCAUUCACCACUCUUGGAGUCAGUCUUGACAAUAGAUACACAAACAUGAGGUCAGGAGUCUAUACAUUCCGAGCCCAUGGUCAGAUUUACCACAACAUCUUCUCAUUUGGUCCAACACAAGAUGGACCUAAGCAUCUAGAGUUAUACUUCUACGAUGAUGACCCGAGUCUACAACAUAGGUUUCGGCGCUCCCCGAACCUAGACCGAGAUGUUAUUCGAAGGCUUGUCAACAUCCUUAAGGAUAAUCCUUAUUCUGAAACAUUCAGGAAUCUAGGUGGAGUCGAUGACCUUGAGGAUUAUCGUAUUGAACUGAACACCGACAUGAGGUUGGACCAAGGAGAUAUAACUUGCCUAUAUCAUCAGAGGUUGCAGCUAUUUGGGUUGAGGGUAAUGAACUAUGUAAGCAUUUUGACCGUAGCAUUGUCCUGUUUGGUAAUGACAACAAGAGAUAUAGCAUCCAACCAUAUUAUGGAUGCUAUGAUCCAUUGUCUUACCCUUUGUUCUUCCCAAGAGGGGAGAUUGGUUGGCAUCCUGAGAUCCCAAAGAACGGUGUCAGCUUGA
RNAcentral lists this ribosomal RNA (1638 nucleotides) under Triticum aestivum (bread wheat). RNAcentral describes it as "partial small subunit ribosomal RNA". The record is from RNAcentral. Lineage: Eukaryota; Viridiplantae; Streptophyta; Magnoliopsida; Poales; Poaceae.